This 7628-nucleotide long non-coding RNA is filed under the name Arachis ipaensis. Its description in RNAcentral is "long non-coding RNA (AIPA_LNC001768)". Lineage: Eukaryota; Viridiplantae; Streptophyta; Magnoliopsida; Fabales; Fabaceae. The record is from RNAcentral.
AUCCAAUUAGCUUGAGAGAAACGUUCACUCUUGCUUAUGUGAAGCUUGGGUAAGGUGAGGAUACGAUAAUUCUAUUUUAUUUUCAUUAAAUUCGAGCUUUGAGUAUUAAAUUGGGUAUAUAUGUAUUAUGAAUGUGUAUUAGGUUGAAAAUAAAUAAUUGGAGCUUGAAAUUGUGAAUACUGGAACUUGGAGGAAGCGGAUUAGUUGAGUUUUGAGGGGUUGUCUUGGUUUUGAAUAAAUAGCUUUGGUCGUUACGUGGAAAUCGGCUAAGGUAUGGUUUAGGUUUCUUGCAUUUAAUAUAUAAUGUUCUGUGAAAACUUAAGCUAGACGGCCAUAGGAUAAGUUGGAAUGCAGGUGUAUGUUUAAUGUUUAGUAAUUUGUCGAUGAAUAUAUUUGGUUGAAGUUUAUUGGAUAAUUAGUUAUUAAUCUUGGAUGGUGAAUGUUAUUGUUGAUGAACAUGGUUGGUUUACUGCUAAUGAUUUGGUGAAUUAAUGAUUUGAGAUAUUUUGUGUUAGAAGCCUAGGAUUAGUGAACUAUGAUCCUUAGUUGAAUUUUGGUUGUUGGAUUUGAAUAUUGUAUGAAUAUAAUUGUUAAUCUGAAGUAGAUUUAUUGUGGUGACUGUUAUGAUGAUGAGGAAGGGUAUGUUGAAUUGAAAAGAAAGCAGGUUUGGACCCGGAAAGGGUGGCAAAGUCCGAGUUUUAGAGGAGAUGCUGCCGAAAUUUUAUAAAAAAUUAGAAAUUUUGUUUAUAUGAUUAUUUAAAAAGAUUUAGAUUCAAAGGUUAUAUGUUUUGAUUUUGAGUUAUUAAGAAAAUGAGCAUGUUUUAAGUUUGAUUCAUUUAGAAAAGAAUGAAUUAUGUUUUGAAUUGGAACUAUUGAUGGACGGAAUAGGAGGUGUGAUAAUGAAGGAUAAGGAUUGAAUAUGAUUGAUGUAUGAUGAUGAAUGAAAUGUGAUUGAGAAUGAUGUUGAUGUUGAUGAAUUAUAAUUGAAUUAUUUAUAUGCCUUGUGAAUUUGAAUAAUCUGAGAUACGAGAUUCCCUGGAUUAAGUGCCGUGGCUUGCCACCACGUGUACCAGGUUGAAAACUCGAUACUCUGUUGGCCCUACGACGUAAGUGUGUGACCGGGCACUAUAUAAAUUCCCAGGAAUGUUACCCUCAUUGAGUAUUAUUGAUUAAUUGAGAACAAACUAUGCAUAGACUCUUGGGGAUGCACGUCGGGGGACAGUCUAAGUACAAUUCAGACUUGUCGGGUUGGCUGGAUAACCGACAGAUGAGCCUCAUCAGCCAUAGGACAGGCAUGCAUGAUAUGCAUAUUACUUGAAUUACUUGCUUGUGCUCUAAUUGGGUGUGCCUAUCUGUAUUUGCCAUGCUAAAUGUAUAUUUGUUAUCUACAGUACUUGUAACCUUCUUGUGUUUACCUUUGUCUAUUUAGUUGUCUGUGAAAAUGCAGGAUGGAGUUGGAGGUAUGGAGGAAUGGCAGUAUGGGAUUUAGAUUUAAGGUUAAGUUAAGUUAGGAUUAAAUAUUUUUAGAGAACCACCCUUUAUGGCUUCUGUUUAAUACUUUAAGCUCUAUAAUCUGAGUGUCGGUGUUCUAGGAUUGCCUCUGGCAUUCCCAGGACCUUAUAUAUUAUGUGUGUGGCACCUUUACCAUACUGAUAACCUCCGGUUCUCAUUCCAUACUAUGUUGUUAUUUUUCAGAUGUAGGUCGAGAGGCAUCUCGUUAGGCGUCUGGACUCUUUAAGCGGAGUGGUUACUGGAUAUUUUGUUAUGCUAUGAUGUAUAUAUAUGUACUUAGUUUUCUCUCCGCAUGACUUAUUCUUUUUGAUCCUCUUAGAGGUUUAUGGAGAGGCAGGAUUGUGUAUAUGUACUUUUGGGUUUUGGAUUGAGGUAGAGGUAGGACAGGCACCGUUACUCCUGCUCCCAUAGGGACUGAUCCAGUAGACUUUAUGGCUGCCCUGGGAAAUAUGGCUGCAGUUAUGCAGGCAACAGCCGAGGCAUUGGGUAAUCAGAUAAAUCAGGGUAAUCAUGGGAACAAUAAUGAUGAGGACGGUCUUAUGACGCUUGCUACAUUUCUGAAAGUUCACCCUCCAACCUUUAGGGGAACCUCAAAUCCCACUGAUGCAGAUAAUUGGAUUCAGGCUAUGGAAAGGGCAUUACAGGCACAACAGGUUCCUGAAGAGCAAUGGGUUGAAUUUGGAACUUAUCAGUUGCAAGGUGAAGCUCAGUAUUGGUGGUAGGGAACACGACGUAUCCUGCAGCCUGAUGGUGCUGCGAUUCCUUCGGAGGUUUUCCAGACAGAGUUCUAUAAGAAAUACUUUCCUAAUUCAGCUAGAAAUGCCAAGGAACUUGAAUUAAUGCAGUUAAAGCAGGGACAGAUGACUGUUGCUGAGUAUACCAGUAAAUUUGAGGAGUUAUGUCGCUUUUCUCGUAUCUGUCAAGGUGCGCCUGAAGAUUUUGCUGAAUGGAAGUGUAUUAAAUAUGAAGGAGGUCUUCGGAGCGAUAUUCUGAGCUUCGUUGCCCCAAUGGAGAUCAGGGUGUUUUCUGAAUUGGUGAAUAAGAGUAGGGUGGCUGAGGAUUGUGUGAGGAAGGCGGCAGCAGAGAAAGGGAAUUUGGGGGUGCCUUUUCAGAGGCCUUCAGGGAGGAAUUUUGCUCCGAGAGGUAGGAAUUUCAAGCGUGGAGGUUUUGUUCCGCAGCAGACUCAAGGUCAAGGUAAUUACAGAAGGCCGAAUACUAAUGCUAGUCAAGGAAAAAGGUUUGGGAAGCAGCCACAGCAAGAUCUGAAUUGUCAGAAGUGCGGAAGGUAUCACCCUGGAGUUCCGUGCAAAUUCGGACUUGGAGUAUGCUAUUCUUGUGGACAGCCCGGGCAUAUGGCCACCAAUUACCCGGAGAAGAAGAAGUAUGAGACUGGUAGGGUGCAGCAGCCGGGGAGAGUAUACACCACUUCUACCAUAGGUGCUGAGGGAUCUGAGACACUGAUUAGAGGUAAUUGUGAAAUGGCUGGUAAAAUCUUAAAUGCUUUAUUUGAUUCAAGUGCAAGUCAUUCAUUUAUUACAUUUGAAAAGGCCCAUGAAUUAGGAUUGAGAAUGGUGGUUUUAGGUUAUGAUUUGAAAGUAUAUAAUGCUACUCAUGAAGCUAUGGUGACUAGGAUAGGAUGUCCACAAGUUCCCUUUCGAGUACAACAGCGUGAAUUUGUGCAUGAUUUGAUUUGUUUGCCUAUGACUGGUCUUGAUCUCAUUUUGGGAUUGGAUUGGUUAUCCAAGAAUCAUGUUUUACUUGAUUGUUCUGAAAAGUCAGUACAGUUUAUGCCGGAAGGGUCAGAAGCACCGGUUGUGGUGAAUAGUUACUAUUUGAAUUCUAUGAUAGUAAACUGUUCUGGAACCGAAUGUCAGGGUAUUAUGUUAUUAACUGCGGGAGUAUCAGGUGAUGAUCAGAGUUUAGAACAAAUUCCAGUUGUAUGUGAAUUUCCAGAUGUGUUUCCGGAUGAUAUUAAUGAAUUUCCACCUAACCGAGAGGUUGAAUUUGCAAUUGAGUUGGUACCUGGAUCCGGUCCAAUUUCAAUUACUCCUUAUAGGAUGUCGCCUUUAGAAAUGGCUGAACUGAAGGCUCAGCUGGAAGAUCUGUUGGGUAAGCAUUUUAUCUGACCAAGUGUUUCUCCGUGGGGAGCGCCAGUGUUACUGGUAAAGAAGAAGGAUGGGAGUAUGCGGCUGUGUGUCGAUUAUCGGCAAUUGAAUAAGAUCACUGUGAAGAAUAAAUAUCCGUUGCCUAGAAUCGAUGAUCUAAUGGAUCAGUUACAGGGUGCCGGUGUGUUUUCUAAGAUUGACCUGCGAUCCGGAUAUCAUCAGAUAAGGGUUAGAGACAAGGAUAUUCCGAAAACUGCUUUCAGAACCCGUUAUGGUCAUUAUGAGUAUACAGUGAUGUCUUUCAGGUUAACUAAUGCCCCGGCAGUAUUUAUGGAUUAUAUGAACAGGAUUUUUCGACCGUAUCUGGACAAGUUUAUUAUUGUCUUCAUUGAUGACAUUCUUGUUUAUUCUAAGACUGAAGAGGAGCAUGCUGAUCACUUGCGAAAUGUGCUGCAAAUUCUGAGAGAUAGGAAGUUAUAUGCUAAGUUAUCUAAAUGUGAGUUCUGGAAGAGUGAAGUGAAGUUUCUCAGUCACGUGGUGAGUAAGCAGGGGAUAGCUGUGGAUCCUGCUAAGGUGGAAGCAGUGAUGAAUUGGGAGCGACCAAUUUCAGUGACAGAGAUCAGAAGUUUCUUAGGUUUGGCGGGGUAUUAUCGCAGAUUCAUUAAGGGAUUUUCACAGCUCGCCUUACCUUUAACUAAAUUGACUAGGAAGGAUACACCUUUUAUCUGGACUCCGGAAUGUGAAGAGAGUUUCCAGGCAUUGAAGCACAGGUUGACUACUGCACCUGUAUUGGUAUUACCUGAACCAAGUGAACCAUUUGAAGUGUAUUGUGAUGCAUCUCUAAAAGGUUUGGGGUGUGUUCUGAUGCAGCACCAGAAUGUUGUAGCAUACGCCUCACGGCAGUUAAGGCCGCAUGAGAUGAACUACCCGACACACGAUUUAGAACUUGUUGCUGUUGUGUUUUCUUUAAAAAUUUGGAGGCACUACCUCUAUGGUGUUAAGUUUCUUGUUUUCUCAGACCAUAAGAGUUUGAAGUAUCUUUUUGAGCAGAAAGAGUUGAAUAUGCGUCAGAGGAGGUGGAUGGAGCUUCUGAAAGAUUAUGAUUUUGAAUUGAAUUAUCAUCCAGGAAAAGCAAACGUUGUGGCGGACACUUUGAGUCGAAAGUCUUUAUAUGCAGCUUGGAUGAUGCUACGGGAGGAAGAGUUACUGAAGGCAUUCCAAGGUUUGAAUUUGGGAGUUAGAGAAGAAUCUGGAAUCCUGUGUUUGAGUCAGUUGCAAAUUUCUAGUGAUUUUAAAUCAGAACUUCUGAAGGCUCAUCAAGACAGUGAAGCGUUACGUAAGGUAUUACCAACAGUCGAACAGGGGAAACAGUGGAGAGUGUCAGAAGGACAGGAUGGUUUGUGGAGGUUUAAGAACCGGAUUAUUGUGCCAGAUAUUGGAGACCUGCGACAGAGAAUCUUGAAGGAUGCUCAUAAGAGAGGGUUUUCAAUUCACCCAGGGAGCACUAAAAUGUAUCAGGAUCUGAAAGCGAUGUUCUGGUGGCCAGGUAUGAAGAAUGAUGUGGCAUUGCAUGUAUCUAAAUGUUUAACGUGUCAGAAGGUUAAGAUUGAGCAUCAGAGACCAUCAGGGAUCCUUCAGCCUUUGGAGAUUCCACAAUGAAAAUGGGAGAGUAUUGCAAUGGAUUUUGUGAUAGGUUUGCUUAGAACCCGAUCUGGUUGUGACGCUAUUUGGGUGGUUGUGGAUCGACUAACAAAAUCAACUCACUUUCUUCCUAUCCGAAUAAGUUGCACAAUGGAGGAAUUGGCUCGAAUGUAUAUCAAAGAGAUUGUCAGAUUACAUGGUGUGCCCUCUACUAUUAUAUCUGAUAGAGAUCCCCGUUUUACAUCAAGGUUCUGGGGAGCUUUUCAGCGUGCAUUUGGGACUCAGUUAAGCUUGAGUACUGCAUAUCACCCUCAGACAGAUGGUCAAUCAGAAAGAACUAUUCAGACCUUGGAGGAUAUGUUAAGGGCUUGUGUUUUAGACCAGCCGACGAGCUGGGAUCGGUAUAUGCCAUUAAUAGAAUUUGCUUAUAAUAAUAGCUAUCAUGCGAGCAUCGGAAUGGCUCCAUAUGAGGCUCUGUAUGGCAUAAAAUGUCAGUCUCCACUAUGUUGGUAUGAAACUGGAGAAAGGAGUUUAUUAGGGCCUGAAAUGAUAGCUGAAACGACUGAGCAGAUAAAGAAGAUUCGUAGUCGAAUGCUUAUAGCCCAAAGCCACCAGAAGAGCUAUGCUAAUCAGAGGUGAAAGCCUUUGGAAUUCGAAGAAGGAGAACAUGUCUUUCUGAAAGUUACACCAACCACUGGCGUGGGAAGAGCUAUUAAGACCAAGAAACUGAAUCCUCGUUAUAUUGGAUCGUUUGAGAUUCUCAAGAGAAUUGGACCAGUGGCUUAUAGAAUUGCCUUACCGCCGUACCUUUCGAAUUUGCACGAUGUAUUUCAUGUAUCACAGCUUCAGAAGUAUACUCCUGAUGCAAGUCAUGUUCUAGAACCAGAACCAAUCGAAGUGAGAGAAGAUCUAACACUUCCAGUAGCCCCGGUAAGAAUUGAUGACACCAGUGUUAAACGAUUACGAGGAAGGGAAGUAUCAUUGGUAAAAAUAGCUUGGAGUCGAGCUGGUAUCGAGGAACAUACCUGGGAGCUCGAAUCAGAUAUGCGAAAGGACUAUCCAAAUCUCUUUUCAGGUAACUAGAUUUGAAUUUUGAGGGCAAAAUUCUUUAUUAGGUGGGUAGGAUGUAAACCCCGGUUAAAUUAGUUAAUAAAUUAGUUUUUAAUAAGGAGGAUUAGAAAUGCGAAUAUUAUAUCAAAAUAGGGUAGAGCUCAUCGAAACGAGAAUUUUGACACUAAUUUUGAAGAAAACGGUCCAAGAUUGGACCGAAAGUACCGAACUGGUUGAACCGGACCCGAACCGGGUUGUCGGUUCAACCGGACCAGCCCUAUUAAAUGAACCCAGCUUUGUCUUCUCCCCCAUUACUGCAGCAACGAAGCUUUCAGCUUCCAGGGAGAAGAGAAACGAGAAACAUUCCCGUAACCCUCACGUUAAUUUCCGAUCCCCGUAACUUCUCCGUCCAAGCUCUAAUCGCUGCACCGUUUGCGGCCACGCGUUCACUGCGUCGAGCUCUACAUUUCUAUCGGAACAAUUUCAUAAGUAACUUAUUUAAUCACUCUCAGCUUCAUCUUCCCCCAAUUUUCGAAUUUUAAGUGGGAAUAUUGAAUUUCUUUGAUUUCUGAUGUUUUAGGAUCCAAUUAGCUUGAAGAUAACUGACAGAUGAGCCUCAUCAGCCAUAGGACAAGCAUGCAUCAUAUGCAUAUUACUUGAAUUACUUGCUUGUGCUCUAAUUGGGUGUGCCUAUCUGUAUUUGCCAUGCUAAAUGUAUAUUUGUUAUCUGCAGUACUUGUAACCUUCUUGUAUUUGCCUUUGUCUGUUUAGUUGUCUGUGAAAAUGCAUGAUGGAGUUGGAGGUAUGGAGGAAUGGCAGUAUGGGAUUUAGAUUUAAGGUUAAGUUAAGUUAGGAUUAAAUAUUUUUAGAGAACUACCCUUUAUGGCUUCUGUUUAAUACUUUAAGCUCUAUAAUCUGAGUGUCGGUGUUCUAGGAUUGCCUCUGGCAUUCCCAGGACCUUAUAUAUUAUGUGUGUGGCACCUUUACCAUACUGAGAACCUCCGGUUCUCAUUCCAUACUAUGUUGUUAUUUUUCAGAUGCAGGUCGAGAGGCAUCUCGUUAGGCGUCUGGACUCUUGAAGCGGAGUGGUUACUGGGAUAUUUUGUUAUGCUAUGAUGUAUAUAUAUGUACUUAGUUUUCUCUCCACAUGACUUAUUCUUUUUGAUCCUCUUAGAGGUUUAUGGAGAGGCAGGAUUGUGUAUAUGUACUUUUGGGUUUUGGAUAUGUAUGUAUAUAUGUGUAAAUAUUCUCCGGCCAGUCUUGACUUCGCAGGCUGAGUUAGGAGCUUGAUAUUUUGUAUCUUUGGCACUCUAUUCCCAC